CGAAGGGUGCAAGCGUUACUCGGAAUUACUGGGCGUAAAGCGUGCGUAGGUGGUUCGUUAAGUCUGUCGUGAAAUCCCCGGGCUCAACCUGGGAAUGGCGAUGGAUACUGGCGAGCUAGAGUGAGGUAGAGGAGAGUGGAAUUCCCGGUGUAGCAGUGAAAUGCGUAGAGAUCGGGAGGAACAUCAGUUGCGAAGGCGGCUCUCUGGACCAUCACUGACACUGAGGCACGAAAGCGUGGGGAGCAAACAGGAUUAGAUACCCUGGUAGUCCACACCCUAAACGAUGCGAACUGGACGUUGGGCUCAAUUAGGAGCUCAGUGUCGAAGCUAACGCGUUAAGUUCGCCGCCUGGGGAGUACGGUCGCAAGACUG
RNAcentral lists this ribosomal RNA (372 nucleotides) under uncultured organism. RNAcentral's name for it is "bacterial SSU rRNA". It matches the Rfam family "Bacterial small subunit ribosomal RNA", at positions 526 to 896 of the family's 1533-position model. The record is from RNAcentral.